UUAUAUAUCGUCCACUUGCCAUACAUUUAGCUCGAUACAGACACAGGGCAAGCAAAGCAAAAAAGAUGCAGCGUCUUAUCUGAUAGUACAUACAUAUAUCACCACUAGCUAGCAUGUGCACACCAAAUCAUAUCCGCAGCCCGCACUCAAGCAGGAGAAACAUAUGCAUACAUAAUCCGCAAGAUACGCAUCCACGAGAGCAUGAUUUAGUUGGCACAGACAUGCGAAUAAACAUCUCCAGCCAGCGCCAUGAUAAUAAUAAUACCAGCAACAAGCAGAGCAAAAAAAAAGCACGAAACGGUUGGAACGUAUCCCGCGCCGAAUCCACGUGCUGACUUUGUUUAGUUAGCACCUCCCACUCCACGCCGUGCCGCGAUCAUGCUCGCCCGCGACGGAGGAGG
Molecule: long non-coding RNA, 401 nt
Filed under: Hordeum vulgare
Lineage: Eukaryota; Viridiplantae; Streptophyta; Magnoliopsida; Poales; Poaceae
Description: long non-coding RNA (HVUL_LNC004885)
Source: RNAcentral